CCGGGCAGGGCAGGGGCGGGGACCGGCCGGGGGAGGGGUGGUGGGGGUGGGGGUAAGAGCAGGUUUUAGGGAAGAAACGCCUGUAGACAGGGAAAAUCAUUGACUUGGGUCCAGCAAUGCCAAAUGUGUUGGGGUGUGAGCAGCCAAAGGCAACAGGCUCUAGCCCCACCGACCGGCGCUGGGGGCUCCUGGUGCUGCCCGUGGGGUGGGGGGUGCAGGGUCUGAGGGAUUGGAUUUCCCUGGGGGUUUGCAGGAGACCAGGAGUGAGAGGAAACGCAGUGCCAGAGCAGGCUGUGUUUGCCUCUGAGGACAGAGAGCCUGUGGGCUGAGGUGAGAUUGCUGUGAGUGUUGGGAUGAGCAUUCCAGGGAACGGGGAGCUUGGAAUUCCAGGUGCUGAUGGAACCAUUGCCUUAGGUGUGUUUAGUUUGUGUCUGUGGGAGCUGGGAUUCGGGCUGGGGAGCUGUUGCUGGGAACAAAGGGUGGAGAAAACCUGCUCCACGGAUGUGUAAGGAAGGAUGGAGUAGCAGGGAAGGGGAGUAUUUCUAUACAGUAUCAAUAUUCUCCAUGUGGGAUGGAGCAGCAAUGGGGGUGGUUGGGUUUGGCCUGGGCCGGUCAGGAUCUGCCAUAAACAACCCACCAGACCCUGAACCCUCACUGGACAUGUCCAACCCCUCAACAGAAACCCAAGUCCUUCAUUAACUGUUACAGAGGAAAAAUGAUUGGUAAUUGCUUCUGAUCCGUGGAGAAUCUCCUUUGGAAUGAUCAAGCAGAGAGCGUACCAAGGCAGGCAGAGCAUUUCUUUUGGCUCUUUUUUUUUU
Molecule: long non-coding RNA, 818 nt
Organism: Pseudopipra pipra
Lineage: Eukaryota; Metazoa; Chordata; Aves; Passeriformes; Pipridae
Exons: 3
Source: RefSeq, a predicted model, not a curated record